AUGGCUUCCUCAUGUACUGUAGUCUUGCCUGAAACAAGAUGGAGUAAAUCUGACCCAAGAUAUACUAAACUAAAUGUCGAUGCAGCAUUCUUUGCAGAUGAGGGGCUAGGUGCGACAUCGGCUGUGCUUCGAGAUGAUAGGGGGAACUUUGUUGCUGCGCAAUGUAAGUUCAUCCCAUAUGCGGCCGAUGCUAUUACCACUGAAGCAAUGUCUAUGAGAGAUGGUUUGGCAUUUGCAAAUUCUCUCGGUUUUAACCGGAUCGAGGCGGAAUCAUAUUCACUCGAAGCCAUUAACUUCUGUACUGGUCACACGAGAUGGUGGGAUGAAGCAGCAACUUUAUUUGCAGAGUGUGUGGAUAUAGGUACUAUGAUCGGGAAGGUCACUUUCAAGCAUUGUCUUCGCUCUUGUAAUCAAGUGGCUCACGUGCUAGCAAAUCAUAGCUAUUGUAAUAAGUCUUCUUUUAGUUGGUUAAACGAGCCCCCUGACAUUGUUGUCGGUAAGCUCGUAGACGAUGUA
Molecule: ribosomal RNA, 516 nt
Filed under: Triticum aestivum (bread wheat)
Lineage: Eukaryota; Viridiplantae; Streptophyta; Magnoliopsida; Poales; Poaceae
Description: partial small subunit ribosomal RNA
Source: RNAcentral